UGAACGCUGGCGGCAUGCUUUACACAUGCAAGUCGAACGGUAACAGGCCGCAAGGUGCUGACGAGUGGCGAACGGGUGAGUAAUGCAUCGGAACGUGCCCAGUCGUGGGGGAUAACUACUCGAAGAGUAGCUAAUACCGCAUACGAACUAUGGAUGAAAGCGGGGGACCGUAAAGCCUCGCGCGAUUGGAGCGGGCGAUGUCAGAUUAGGUAGUUGGUGGGGUAAAGGCUCACCAAGCCAACGAUCUGUAGCUGGUCUGAGAGGACGACCAGCCACACUGGGACUGAGACACGGCCCAGACUCCUACGGGAGGCAGCAGUGGGGAAUUUUGGACAAAGGGCGCAAGCCUGAUCCAGCAAUGCCGCGUGCAGGAAGAAGGCCUUCGGGUUGUAAACUGCUUUUGUACGGAACGAAACGGCUCUGGUUAAUACCCGGGGCUAAUGACGGUACCGUAAGAAUAAGCACCGGCUAACUACGUG
RNAcentral lists this ribosomal RNA (479 nucleotides) under uncultured bacterium. RNAcentral describes it as "partial 16S ribosomal RNA". It matches the Rfam family "Bacterial small subunit ribosomal RNA", at positions 30 to 507 of the family's 1533-position model. The record is from RNAcentral.